AUGCUUCUCCUAAAGACUAAGCCAUGCAUGCCUUCGAAUACGAGGAAGCAAUUCUCUCUGAAUCUGCGAACGGCUCCGCAAACCAGUUGUAAACUAUAGCAAGCAAGCCCUAGGCCCCUCGGGGUCUGGGGCAACAUGGAUAACCCUGGUAAUUCUGAGGCUAAUACAAGAACGUAAUACCUGGCUAACCGGUUCGCUGGAAGGCUGGGAGACGUGUAGAUGCUUCGCGAGGAAUUUGCUGGGAAUAGAUG
Molecule: ribosomal RNA, 251 nt
Filed under: Didymium environmental sample
Lineage: Eukaryota; Evosea; Eumycetozoa; Physariida; Didymiaceae
Description: partial 18S ribosomal RNA
Rfam family: Eukaryotic small subunit ribosomal RNA
Source: RNAcentral